ACCUUACCUGGUCUUGACAUCCACAGAACUUAGCAGAGAUGCUUUGGUGCCUUCGGGAACUGUGAGACAGGUGCUGCAUGGCUGUCGUCAGCUCGUGUUGUGAAAUGUUGGGUUAAGUCCCGCAACGAGCGCAACCCUUAUCCUUUGUUGCCAGCGGUCCGGCCGGGAACUCAAAGGAGACUGCCAGUGAUAAACUGGAGGAAGGUGGGGAUGACGUCAAGUCAUCAUGGCCCUUACGACCAGGGCUACACACGUGCUACAAUGGCGCAUACAAAGAGAAGCGACCUCGCGAGAGCAAGCGGACCUCAUAAAGUGCGUCGUAGUCCGGAUUGGAGUCUGCAACUCGACUCCAUGAAGUCGGAAUCGCUAGUAAUCGUGAAUC
This 382-nucleotide ribosomal RNA is filed under the name Enterobacter sp. CAR26. RNAcentral describes it as "bacterial SSU rRNA". It matches the Rfam family "Bacterial small subunit ribosomal RNA", at positions 968 to 1350 of the family's 1533-position model. Lineage: Bacteria; Pseudomonadati; Pseudomonadota; Gammaproteobacteria; Enterobacterales; Enterobacteriaceae. The record is from RNAcentral.